AGCAGCCGCGGUAAUUCCAGCUCCAAUAGCGUAUAUUAAAGUUGUUGCAGUUAAAAAGCCCGUAGUUGAAUUUCGGGAUCAAUAUGUCGGUCGUGCCUCGGUACGUACUGGCGUAAUUGGUUUCUCCCUUCUGAAGAACCUCGAUGUCAUUAAUUUGGUGUCGUGGGGAAUCAGGACUGUUACUUUGAAAAAAUUAGAGUGUUUAAAGCAGGACUCGCGCUUGAAUACAUUAGCAUGGAAUAAUGAAAUAGGACGUUUGAUUCUAUUUUGUUGGUUUCUAGGAUCGACGUAAUGAUUAAUAGGGAUAGUUGGGGGCAUUAGUAGUUCAAUUGUCAGAGGUGAAAUUCUUGGAUUUAUUGAAGACUAACUACUGCGAAAGCAUUUGCCAAGGAUGUUUCAUUAAUCUAAGAACGAAAGUUAGGGGAUCGAAGACGGAUCAGAUACCGUCGUAGUCUUAACCAUAAACUAUGCCGACUAGGGAUCGGAUGAUGUAAUUUUUAAUGACUCAUUUCGGCGCCUU
Molecule: ribosomal RNA, 520 nt
Filed under: uncultured Glomus
Lineage: Eukaryota; Fungi; Glomeromycota; Glomeromycetes; Glomerales; Glomeraceae
Description: SSU rRNA
Rfam family: Eukaryotic small subunit ribosomal RNA
Source: RNAcentral